AUUGAACGCUGGCGGCAUGCCUUACACAUGCAAGUCGAACGGUAACAGGUCUUCGGAUGCUGACGAGUGGCGAACGGGUGAGUAAUACAUCGGAACGUGCCUAGUAGUGGGGGAUAACUACUCGAAAGAGUGGCUAAUACCGCAUGAGAUCUACGGAUGAAAGCAGGGGAUCGCAAGACCUUGUGCUACUAGAGCGGCCGAUGGCAGAUUAGGUAGUUGGUGGGAUAAAAGCUUACCAAGCCGACGAUCUGUAGCUGGUCUGAGAGGACGAUCAGCCACACUGGGACUGAGAAACGGCCCAGACUCCUACGGGAGGCAGCAGUGGGGAAUUUUGGACAAUGGGCGCAAGCCUGAUCCGGCAAUGCCGCGUGCGGGAUGAAGGCCUUCGGGUUGUAAACUGCUUUUGUACGGAACGAAAAGCCCCGGGUUAAUACCCUGGGGUCAUGACGGUACCGUAAGAAUAAGCACCGGCUAACUACGUGCCAGCCGCCGCCGUAA
This 498-nucleotide ribosomal RNA is filed under the name uncultured bacterium. RNAcentral describes it as "partial 16S ribosomal RNA". It matches the Rfam family "Bacterial small subunit ribosomal RNA", at positions 30 to 523 of the family's 1533-position model. The record is from RNAcentral.